UUAAGCGACUAAGCGUACACGGUGGAUGCCCUGGCAGUCAGAGGCGAUGAAGGACGUGCUAAUCUGCGAUAAGCGUCGGUAAGGUGAUAUGAACCGUUAUAACCGGCGAUUUCCGAAUGGGGAAACCCAGUGUGAUUCGUCACACUAUCAUUAACUGAAUCCAUAGGUUAAUGAGGCGAACCGGGGGAACUGAAACAUCUAAGUACCCCGAGGAAAAGAAAUCAACCGAGAUUCCCCCAGUAGCGGCGAGCGAACGGGGAGGAGCCCAGAGCCUGAAUCAGUGUGUGUGUUAGUGGAAGCGUCUGGAAAGGCGCGCGAUACAGGGUGACAGCCCCGUACACAAAAAUGCACAUGCUGUGAGCUCGAUGAGUAGGGCGGGACACGUGGUAUCCUGUCUGAAUAUGGGGGGACCAUCCUCCAAGGCUAAAUACUCCUGACUGACCGAUAGUGAACCAGUACCGUGAGGGAAAGGCGAAAAGAACCCCGGCGAGGGGAGUGAAAAAGAACCUGAAACCGUGUACGUACAAGCAGUGGGAGCACAGAGCAAUCUGUGUGACUGCGUACCUUUUGUAUAAUGGGUCAGCGACUUAUAUUCUGUAGCAAGGUUAACCGAAUAGGGGAGCCGAAGGGAAACCGAGUCUUAACUGGGCGUUAAGUUGCAGGGUAUAGACCCGAAACCCGGUGAUCUAGCCAUGGGCAGGUUGAAGGUUGGGUAACACUAACUGGAGGACCGAACCGACUAAUGUUGAAAAAUUAGCGGAUGACUUGUGGCUGGGGGUGAAAGGCCAAUCAAACCGGGAGAUAGCUGGUUCUCCCCGAAAGCUAUUUAGGUAGCGCCUCGUGAAUUCAUCUCCGGGGGUAGAGCACUGUUUCGGCAAGGGGGUCAUCCCGACUUACCAACCCGAUGCAAACUGCGAAUACCGGAGAAUGUUAUCACGGGAGACACACGGCGGGUGCUAACGUCCGUCGUGAAGAGGGAAACAACCCAGACCGCCAGCUAAGGUCCCAAAGUCAUGGUUAAGUGGGAAACGAUGUGGGAAGGCCCAGACAGCCAGGAUGUUGGCUUAGAAGCAGCCAUCAUUUAAAGAAAGCGUAAUAGCUCACUGGUCGAGUCGGCCUGCGCGGAAGAUGUAACGGGGCUAAACCAUGCACCGAAGCUGCGGCAGCGACGCUGAUGCGUUGUUGGGUAGGGGAGCGUUCUGUAAGCCUGCGAAGGUGUGCUGUGAGGCAUGCUGGAGGUAUCAGAAGUGCGAAUGCUGACAUAAGUAACGAUAAAGCGGGUGAAAAGCCCGCUCGCCGGAAGACCAAGGGUUCCUGUCCAACGUUAAUCGGGGCAGGGUGAGUCGACCCCUAAGGCGAGGCCGAAAGGCGUAGUCGAUGGGAAACAGGUUAAUAUUCCUGUACUUGGUGUUACUGCGAAGGGGGGACGGAGAAGGCUAUGUUGGCCGGGCGACGGUUGUCCCGGUUUAAGCGUGUAGGCUGGUUUUCCAGGAAAAUCCGGAAAAUCAAGGCUGAGGCGUGAUGACGAGGCACUACGGUGCUGAAGCAACAAAUGCCCUGCUUCCAGGAAAAGCCUCUAAGCAUCAGGUAACAUCAAAUCGUACCCCAAACCGACACAGGUGGUCAGGUAGAGAAUACCAAGGCGCUUGAGAGAACUCGGGUGAAGGAACUAGGCAAAAUGGUGCCGUAACUUCGGGAGAAGGCACGCUGAUAUGUAGGUGAAGUCCCUCGCGGAUGGAGCUGAAAUCAGUCGAAGAUACCAGCUGGCUGCAACUGUUUAUUAAAAACACAGCACUGUGCAAACACGAAAGUGGACGUAUACGGUGUGACGCCUGCCCGGUGCCGGAAGGUUAAUUGAUGGGGUUAGCGCAAGCGAAGCUCUUGAUCGAAGCCCCGGUAAACGGCGGCCGUAACUAUAACGGUCCUAAGGUAGCGAAAUUCCUUGUCGGGUAAGUUCCGACCUGCACGAAUGGCGUAAUGAUGGCCAGGCUGUCUCCACCCGAGACUCAGUGAAAUUGAACUCGCUGUGAAGAUGCAGUGUACCCGCGGCAAGACGGAAAGACCCCGUGAACCUUUACUAUAGCUUGACACUGAACAUUGAGCCUUGAUGUGUAGGAUAGGUGGGAGGCUUUGAAGUGUGGACGCCAGUCUGCAUGGAGCCGACCUUGAAAUACCACCCUUUAAUGUUUGAUGUUCUAACGUGGACCCGUAAUCCGGGUUGCGGACAGUGUCUGGUGGGUAGUUUGACUGGGGCGGUCUCCUCCUAAAGAGUAACGGAGGAGCACGAAGGUUGGCUAAUCCUGGUCGGACAUCAGGAGGUUAGUGCAAUGGCAUAAGCCAGCUUGACUGCGAGCGUGACGGCGCGAGCAGGUGCGAAAGCAGGUCAUAGUGAUCCGGUGGUUCUGAAUGGAAGGGCCAUCGCUCAACGGAUAAAAGGUACUCCGGGGAUAACAGGCUGAUACCGCCCAAGAGUUCAUAUCGACGGCGGUGUUUGGCACCUCGAUGUCGGCUCAUCACAUCCUGGGGCUGAAGUAGGUCCCAAGGGUAUGGCUGUUCGCCAUUUAAAGUGGUACGCGAGCUGGGUUUAGAACGUCGUGAGACAGUUCGGUCCCUAUCUGCCGUGGGCGCUGGAGAAUUGAGGGGGGCUGCUCCUAGUACGAGAGGACCGGAGUGGACGCAUCACUGGUGUUCGGGUUGUCAUGCCAAUGGCACUGCCCGGUAGCUAAAUGCGGAAGAGAUAAGUGCUGAAAGCAUCUAAGCACGAAACUUGCCCCGAGAUGAGUUCUCCCUGACUCCUUGAGAGUCCUGAAGGAACGUUGAAGACGACGACGUUGAUAGGCCGGGUGUGUAAGCGCAGCGAUGCGUUGAGCUAACCGGUACUAAUGAACCGUGAGGCUUAACCUU
RNAcentral lists this ribosomal RNA (2904 nucleotides) under Escherichia coli. RNAcentral's name for it is "23S ribosomal RNA". It matches the Rfam family "Bacterial large subunit ribosomal RNA". Lineage: Bacteria; Pseudomonadati; Pseudomonadota; Gammaproteobacteria; Enterobacterales; Enterobacteriaceae. The record is from RNAcentral.